UAGCCGUAAACGAUACUCGCUAGGUGUCGGCCACGGUGCGACCGUUGUCGGUGCCGUAGGGAAGCCGUGAAGCGAGCCACCUGGGAAGUACGGCCGCAAGGCUGAAACUUAAAGGAAUUGGCGGGGGAGGCACCACAACGGGUGGAGCCUGCGGUUUAAUUUGGACUCAACGCCGGGAAGCUCACCGGAUAAGACAGCGGAAUGAUUGCCGGGCUGAAGACCCUGCAUGACCAGCUGAGAGGUGGUGCAUGGCGUAGUCG
Molecule: ribosomal RNA, 260 nt
Filed under: uncultured archaeon
Lineage: Archaea
Description: partial 16S ribosomal RNA
Rfam family: Archaeal small subunit ribosomal RNA
Source: RNAcentral